Molecule: ribosomal RNA, 293 nt
Filed under: uncultured bacterium
Lineage: Bacteria
Description: partial 16S ribosomal RNA
Rfam family: Archaeal small subunit ribosomal RNA
Source: RNAcentral
GUGCCAGCCGCCGCGGUAAUACCGGCAGCCCAAGUGAUGGCCGCUGUUAUUGGGCCUAAAGCGUCCGUAGCUGGCUGCGCAAGUCCGUCGGGAAAUCCACUCGCCCAACGAGUGGGCGUCCAGCGGAAACUGUCCGGCUUGGGGCCGGAAGACCCGAGGGGUACGUCCGGGGUAGGAGUGAAAUCCUGUAAUCCUGGACGGACCGCCGGUGGCGAAAGCGCCUCGGGAGGACGGACCCGACAGUGAGGGACGAAAGCCAGGGUCUCGAACCGGAUUAGAUACCCGUGUAGUCC